AACGAACGCUGGCGGCAUGCCUAACACAUGCAAGUCGAACGAGACCUUCGGGUCUAGUGGCGCACGGGUGCGUAACGCGUUGGAACCUGCCCUUAGGUUCGGAAUAACUCCCCGAAAGGGGUGCUAAUACCGGAUAAUGUCUUCGGACCAAAGAUUUAUCGCCUUUGGAUGGGCCCGCGUUGGAUUAGCUAGUUGGUAGGGUAAAAGCCUACCAAGGCGACGAUCCAUAGCUGGUCUGAGAGGAUGAUCAGCCACACUGGGACUGAGACACGGCACAGACUACGACGGGAGGAAGCAGUGGGGAAUAUAGGAAAAUGGGCGAAAGCCUGAUCCAGCAAUGACGCGUGAGUGAUGAAGGCAUUAGGGUUGUAAAGCUCUUUUAACAGGGAUGAUAAUGACAGUACCGGGAGAAUAAGCUCCGGCUAACUCCGUG
Molecule: ribosomal RNA, 433 nt
Filed under: uncultured bacterium
Lineage: Bacteria
Description: partial 16S ribosomal RNA
Rfam family: Bacterial small subunit ribosomal RNA
Source: RNAcentral